RNAcentral lists this ribosomal RNA (211 nucleotides) under uncultured bacterium. RNAcentral describes it as "partial 16S ribosomal RNA". It matches the Rfam family "Bacterial small subunit ribosomal RNA", at positions 30 to 253 of the family's 1533-position model. The record is from RNAcentral.
AUUGAACGCUGGCGGCAUGGCUAAAACAUGCAAGUCGAACGCGAAAGGUAGCAAUACCAAGUAGAGUGGCGAAAGGGCGAGUAAUGCAUUCCUACGUGCCCCAAGGUCGGGAAUAGCUCGGGGAAACCCGGAACUUAAACCGACUAAUGUCUACGGACCAAAGGACUUGCUGCCCUCGGGAGGCGGGGAAGUGUCCUAUCAGGUUGUUGGU